RNAcentral lists this ribosomal RNA (429 nucleotides) under Gemmatimonadota bacterium. RNAcentral describes it as "Gemmatimonadetes bacterium partial 16S ribosomal RNA". It matches the Rfam family "Bacterial small subunit ribosomal RNA", at positions 355 to 776 of the family's 1533-position model. Lineage: Bacteria; Pseudomonadati; Gemmatimonadota. The record is from RNAcentral.
UAGGGAAUCUUCGGCAAUGGACGAAAGUCUGACCGAGCAACGCCGCGGGAGUGAAGAAGGUUUUCGGAUCGUAAAACUCUGUUGUUAGAGAAGAACAAGGACGUUAGUAACUGAACGUCCCCUGACGGUAUCUAACCAGAAAGCCACGGCUAACUACGUGCCAGCAGCCGCGGUAAUACGUAGGUGGCAAGCGUUGUCCAGAUUUAUUGGGCGUAAAGCGAGCGCAGGCGGUUUCUUAAGUCUGAUGUGAAAGCCCCCGGCUCAACCGGGGAGGGUCAUUGGAAACUGGGAGACUUGGGUGCAGAAGAGGAGAGUGGAAUUCCAUGUGUAGCGGUGAAAUGCGUAGAUAUAUGGAGGAACACCAGUGGCGAAGGCGGCUGUCUGGUCUGUAACUGACGCUGAGGCUCGAAAGCGUGGGGAGCAAACAGG